Molecule: ribosomal RNA, 105 nt
Filed under: marine eukaryotic metagenome
Source: RNAcentral
UGGUGGUUAUAGCAUGGAGGCUCCACCUCUUCCCAUUCCGAACAGAGAAGUUAAGCUCCAUAGCGCCGAUGGUACUGCCGUAUGGUGGGAGAGUAGGUCGCUGCC